GUCUAAAAAGCUAGCCUGAUCAAUUAAAUUAACUAACAUUAUUAAUAUAUUAAUAAGUUUAUUAAAAAUAAAGACAAACCAUUUUGCAACCUUAGUACAGGUGAUGAAAAAGGAUAAAAGAGCUACACAAAAAGUACCGCAAGGGAAAGCUGAAAAAAAGAUGAAAUAGACUACUUAAGAUUAGUAAAGCAGAGUUUAAUACUCGUACCUUUUGCAUCAUGAUUUAGCAAGAAGUCAAUAAGCACAAAGAAAUUUUAGUUUAAAGCCCCGAAACCGAGCGAGCUACCUCGGGACCGCUUAAUAGAGCCAACCCGUCCCUGUGGCAAAAGGGUGGGAUGAUCCCCAGGUAGAGGUGAUAAACCUACCGAGCAAGGUGAUAGCUGGUUUUCUGAGAAAUGAAUAGAAGUUCAGCCUUUCUUUUUUUAUAAUUAAAACAGAUAAUUCAAGUAAAAAUAAAUAAAAAUUUUAGGAGUUAUUCUAUAGAGGUACAGCUCUAUAGAAAAAAGAUACAACUUUUUGAAGGAUAAAGAUUAUAAGACUAAUAAAGUUCACGAGUGGGCCUAAAAGCAGCCAACUCAUAAGAAAGCGUUAAAGCUCAAGAACACAAGUUAACAGAUUAUGACAAAAAAAUCAAAUGCCUCUUAACAUAUCAGAGCUUUCUAUAUAAAUAUAGUAAAGAUAAUGCUAAUAUGAGUAAUAAGGGGGAAUAGACUCCCUCGAGUGCACUAGUGUAUAUCAGAUUUGACUGACUACUGAUAAUUAACGUCCCCCCGAAUAGAGGGAACUGGUUUAUUAAUCAUAACCAAGUAAACCACCCAAAGUAAAACGUUGCCCCCACACAGGUGUGCCUCUCGAAAGACAAAAAGAGUAAGAAGGAACUCGGCAAACACAGACCUCGCCUGUUUACCAAAAACAUCGCCUCUUGAUAGAAUUGUAUAAGAGGUCCCGCCUGCCCUGUGACAAAAGUUUAACGGCCGCGGUAUUUUGACCGUGCAAAGGUAGCGUAAUAACUUGUCUUUUAAAUGAAGACCUGUAUGAAUGGCAUAACGAGGGUCAACCUGUCUCCUUACUCCAGUCAAUGAAAUUGAUUUUCCCGUGCAGAAGCGGGGAUAACUCCGUAAGACGAGAAGACCCUAUGGAGCUUUAAAACGCUAGGACACACCAAGUUAAAAUAACCUUGUUAAGGGUCACAAACAAAAUGGAUCUGCCCAAGUGUUUUUGGUUGGGGCGACCACGGAGUAUAGCUUAACCCCCGUAUGGAAUUAAAACUUAAUUUUAAAUUCAGAGCCGCCGCUCGGAAAGACAGAAAAUCUGACCACACAGAUCCGGCAAAGCCGAUCCACGGACCUAGUUACCCUAGGGAUAACAGCGCAAUCCCUCCCUAGAGCCCCUAUCGACGGAGGAGUUUACGACCUCGAUGUUGGAUCAGGACAUCCUAUUGGUGCAGCCGCUAUUAAGGGUUC
Molecule: ribosomal RNA, 1463 nt
Filed under: Schindleria pietschmanni
Lineage: Eukaryota; Metazoa; Chordata; Actinopteri; Gobiiformes; Schindleriidae
Description: partial 16S ribosomal RNA
Rfam family: Bacterial large subunit ribosomal RNA
Source: RNAcentral